UGCAGAAUCCCGUUAACCAUCGAGUCUUUGAACGCAAGUUGCGCCCGAAGCCGCCAGGCUGAGGGCACGCCUGCCUGGGCGUCA
This 84-nucleotide ribosomal RNA is filed under the name Crataegus suksdorfii. Its description in RNAcentral is "partial 5.8S ribosomal RNA". It matches the Rfam family "5.8S ribosomal RNA", at positions 73 to 154 of the family's 154-position model. Rfam says of the family: 5.8S ribosomal RNA (5.8S rRNA) is a component of the large subunit of the eukaryotic ribosome. It is transcribed by RNA polymerase I as part of the 45S precursor that also contains 18S and 28S rRNA. Lineage: Eukaryota; Viridiplantae; Streptophyta; Magnoliopsida; Rosales; Rosaceae. The record is from RNAcentral.